Molecule: ribosomal RNA, 228 nt
Filed under: Blautia sp. An81
Lineage: Bacteria; Bacillati; Bacillota; Clostridia; Lachnospirales; Lachnospiraceae
Description: partial 16S ribosomal RNA
Rfam family: Bacterial small subunit ribosomal RNA
Source: RNAcentral
UUUAUCAGAGAGUUUGAUCCUGGCUCAGGAUGAACGCUGGCGGCGUGCCUAACACAUGCAAGUCGAGCGAAGCGCCUGCUUUUGAUUUUUUCGGGAUGAAGAAGCUUGUGACUGAGCGGCGGACGGGUGAGUAACACGUAGGCAACCUGCCUCACACAGGGGGAUAACAGUUAGAAAUGACUGCUAAUACCGCAUAAGCGCACAGGGCCGCAUGGCCCGGUGUGAAAA